This is a long non-coding RNA of Oncorhynchus tshawytscha (Chinook salmon), 441 nucleotides long. Lineage: Eukaryota; Metazoa; Chordata; Actinopteri; Salmoniformes; Salmonidae. The record is from Ensembl.
GGCAGGAGUGCGUAAUGAUGGUGGCAGGUGUGCGUAAUGAUGGUGGCAGGUGUGCGUAAUGAUGGUGGCAGGAGUGCGUAAUGAUGGUGGCAGGAGUGCGUAAUGAUGGUGGCAGGAGUGCGUAAUGAUGGUGGCAGGAGUGCGUAAUGAUGGUGGCAGGUGUGCGUAAUGAUGGUGGCAGGAGUGCGUAAUGAUGGUGGCAGGAGUGCGUAAUGAUGGUGGCAGGUGUGCGUAAUGAUGGUGGCAGGAGUGCGUAAUGAUGGUGGCAGGUGUGCGUAAUGAUGGUGGCAGGUGUGCGUAAUGAUGGUGGCAGGAGUGCGUAAUGAUGGUGGCAGGAGUGCAUAAUGAUGGUGGCAGGUGUGCGUAAUGAUGGUGGCAGGAGUGCGUAAUGAUGGUGGCAGGUGUGCGUAAUGAUGGUGGCAGGUGUGCGUAAUGAUGGUG